UGAAAUGCGAUAAGUAAUGUGAAUUGCAGAAUCUCGUGAAUCAUUGAAUCUUUGAACGCACAUUGCGCCCUAUGGUAUUCCGUAGGGCAUGCCUGUCUGAGCGUCAGCUCGUCUUCUCAAGCUCUUUUGCUUGGAUAACAUUGGAAUUGCAAUACACGCUCCAUUCGGAGUCUGUGUGCAAUCCAGAAAUAUAUAGGCGGUACGGUUCUAGCAAACCAGACGUAAUAAUAUUCUUAUAUCGUUAAUUUGUUGAAGCUGUUGCUUGCCUUUUAAUCCACAUCUUUCUCAAGAUGACCUCAGAUCAGGUAGGGAUACCCGCUGAACUUAA
Molecule: unclassified non-coding RNA, 328 nt
Filed under: uncultured fungus
Lineage: Eukaryota; Fungi
Description: sequence contains ITS1
Rfam family: 5.8S ribosomal RNA (bases 1-106)
Source: RNAcentral